AUUCCAUGGUGUAGACAUUUCUUAAGAAGUUCCUUGAACCUCUCCCACUCAAUCAGAAGCUACUUUGUAGUACCUUUGCAGAAACAACAAAAUCUCAUUUCUAAACUU
Molecule: small nucleolar RNA, 108 nt
Organism: Cynara cardunculus var. scolymus (artichoke)
Lineage: Eukaryota; Viridiplantae; Streptophyta; Magnoliopsida; Asterales; Asteraceae
Source: RefSeq, a predicted model, not a curated record